ACUAAGCAUAUCAAUAAGCGGAGGAAAAGAAACUAACAAGGAUUCCCCUAGUAACUGCGAGUGAAGCGGGAAAAGCUCAAAUUUAAAAUCUGGCAGUCUCUGGCUGUCCGAGUUGUAAUCUAGAGAAGUAAUGCCCGUGCUGGACCGUGUAUAAGUCUCCUGGGAUGGGGCGUCAUAGAGGGUGAGAAUCCCGUCUUUGACACGGACUACCAGUGCAUUGUGGUAUGCUCUCAAAGAGUCGAGUUGUUUGGGAAUGCAGCUCAAAAUGGGUGGUAAAUUCCAUCUAAAGCUAAAUAUUGGCGAGAGACCGAUAGCGAACAAGUACCGUGAGGGAAAGAUGAAAAGAACUUUGGAAAGAGAGUUAAACAGUACGUGAAAUUGCUGAAAGGGAAACGCUUGAAGUCAGUCGCGUUGGCCGGGAAUCAGCCUUGCUUUUGCAUGGUGUACUUUCUGGUUGACGGGUCAGCAUCAAUUUUGACUGCUGGAAAAAGGCCUGGGGAAUGUGGCAGCUCCGGCUGUGUUAUAGCCCCUAGUCACAUACAGUGGUUGGGAUUGAGGAACUCAGCACGCCGCAAGGCCGGGUUUCGACCACGUUCGUGCUUAGGAUGCUGGCAUAAUGGCUUUAAGCGACCCGUCUUGAAACACGGACCAAGGAGUCUAACAUGCCUGCGAGUAUUUGGGUGGAAAACCCAAGUGCGUAAUGAAAGUGAAAGUUGAGAUCCCUGUCGUGGGGAGCAUCGACGCCCGGACCAGAACUUUUGGGACGGAUCCGCGGUGGAGCAUGUAUGUUGGGACCCGAAAGAUGGUGAACUAUGCCUGAAUAGGGUGAAGCCAGAGGAAACUCUGGUGGAGGCUCGUAGCGAUUCUGACGUGCAAAUCGAUCGUCAAAUUUGGGUAUAGGGGCGAAAGACUAAUCGAACCAUCUAGUAGCUGGUUCCUGCCGAAUUCCC
This 950-nucleotide ribosomal RNA is filed under the name Agaricus sp. Its description in RNAcentral is "LSU rRNA". It matches the Rfam family "Eukaryotic large subunit ribosomal RNA", at positions 33 to 970 of the family's 3401-position model. Lineage: Eukaryota; Fungi; Basidiomycota; Agaricomycetes; Agaricales; Agaricaceae. The record is from RNAcentral.